CUGGUUGAUCCUGCCAGUAGUCAUAUGCUUGUCUCAAAGAUUAAGCCAUGCAUGUCUCAGUCCAAGCCGUGUUUACAUGGCGAGACCGCGGACGGCUCAUUAAAUCAGUCGUGGUCCAUAUGGGCUAGAGUUUAUCUUACUUGGAUAACUGUGGUAAUUCCAGAGCUAAUACAUGCAACCUAUAUCCUGACGACGUGGGGGCGCUUGCGUCUCCGCACUGACGGAUGCUUUUAUUAGACCAAACCGCUGAGUGCGUGGCUCGCGCCACGUAUGACUCGUUUAAUGGUGACUCUGAAUAACCUUUCUGACAAGCGAACGUACCCCUCGUUGGGACGGCGCUGCCACUUUCGAGUGUCUGCCUUAUCAGCUAUCAACCGUUCGUUAUGUGCGACCGAUGGCUUUGACGGGUAACGGGGAAUCAGAGUUCGAUUCCGGAGAGGCAGCCUGAGAGACGGCUACCACGUCCAAGGACGGCAGCAGGCACGCAAAUUACCCAAUCCCAGCUCCUGGGGGAGGUAGUGACGAAAUCUAACGAUGCGGGCGCCCUUUCUGGGGCCCCGCAAUCGGAAUGGCCACUUUCUAAACACCUGUUGAGAACCUACUGAAGGGCAAGUCUGGUGCCAGCAGCCGCGGUAAUUC
RNAcentral lists this ribosomal RNA (639 nucleotides) under uncultured eukaryote. RNAcentral's name for it is "bacterial SSU rRNA". It matches the Rfam family "Eukaryotic small subunit ribosomal RNA", at positions 4 to 585 of the family's 1831-position model. The record is from RNAcentral.